UAGGGAAUCUUCGGCAAUGGGGGGAACCCUGACCGAGCAACGCCGCGUGAGUGAAGAAGGUUUUCGGAUCGUAAAGCUCUGUUGUUAAGGAAGAACGAGUGUGAGAAUGGAAAGUUCAUGCUGUGACGGUACUUAACCAGAAAGGGACGGCUAACUACGUGCCAGCAGCCGCGGUAAUACGUAGGUCCCGAGCGUUGUCCGGAUUUAUUGGGCGUAAAGCGAGCGCAGGCGGUUAGAAAAGUCUGAAGUGAAAGGCAGUGGCUCAACCAUUGUAGGCUUUGGAACCUGUUUAACUUGAGUACAGAAGGGGAGAGUGGAAUUCCAUGUGUAGCGGUGAAAUGCGUAGAUAUCUGGAGGGACGCAAGUGGCGAAAGCGGCUCUCUGGUCUGUCACUGACGCUGAGGCUCUAAAGCGUGGGGAGCGAACAGG
This 429-nucleotide ribosomal RNA is filed under the name Bacteroidota bacterium. RNAcentral describes it as "Bacteroidetes bacterium partial 16S ribosomal RNA". It matches the Rfam family "Bacterial small subunit ribosomal RNA", at positions 355 to 776 of the family's 1533-position model. Lineage: Bacteria; Pseudomonadati; Bacteroidota. The record is from RNAcentral.